Molecule: ribosomal RNA, 406 nt
Filed under: uncultured bacterium
Lineage: Bacteria
Description: partial 16S ribosomal RNA
Rfam family: Bacterial small subunit ribosomal RNA
Source: RNAcentral
AUUGAACGCUGGCGGCAGGCCUAACACAUGUAAGUCGAACGAGUGGCGGACGGGUGAGUAAUGUCUGGGAAACUGCCCGAUGGAGGGGGGUAACUACUGGACACGGUAGCUAAUACCGCAUACCAUCGGAUGUGCCCAGAUGGGGUUAGCUAUUAGGUGGGGUAAAGUCUCCCCUAGGCGACGAUCCCUAGAUGGUCUGAGAGGAUGACCAGCCACACGGGAACUGAGACACGGUCCAGACUCCGACGGGAGGCAGCAGUGGGGAAUAUUGCACAAGGGGCGCAAGCCGGAUACAGCCAUGCCGCGUGUAUGAAGAAGGCCUUCGGGUUGUAAAGUACUUUAAGCGAGGAGGCGUUACUCGCAGAAGAAGCACCGGCUAACUCCGUGCCAGCAGCCGCGGUAAUAC